UAUGUGAAUGUGAUGAAUUUGUGGGCUCUUGGUAGUGCAGUAGGAUAUAUAUACGAAUAUUUUAUGGUAGAAGAAAGGGCUUCUGUCUGUGUCCUGUUUUCAGGUUGAUAGUCCUGUAUUAAAAAAAAAUUGAAGAUUUGAAUUCCAGAAAGAAUCGUCCUGGAGGGUUGUGAGAAAUUGUAGAAGGUAUUGGUCUACAUCAAGAAGAGAGGUCUAGAUUAAGCCGCUCUUGGAAUUAUUGAGGACGGGUUGGUCGUUUAUUUGCGGAGGUGGGCAGAUGGUUCCCGGAGCAGACUUUUGGAUAGGUGUCGAUGAAAAUGGAUUAAGGGAAGCCGAAAAAUUUACGAGAUGGAAGGAAACCUGAGCGAGGGUGUUGGCGAAUGUGCAAGAGCCCAAAGCGAUCCGGUUCAGGGGAAACGGACGAGGAAUUAAGUGGUAGGGAUUGCAUGUUACGAGCAAAUGGGUGAGUAUGAAGAUAAUGUAGGGUUGAGUGUGGAUGAUAUACAUAAGAAAUGUUGGGACAACAUAGAUGGUGCUUAUGAGUUUUACAGGAAGUAUGGAAGAUUUCAUGGAUUUGGCAUACGGAAAGCCGAUUCAGGAAAGGACUGUGACAGAAAUGUGGUUAGAUAUAGGUUUUUCUACAAUAGGGAAGAAAG
Molecule: non-coding RNA, 656 nt
Organism: Arachis ipaensis
Lineage: Eukaryota; Viridiplantae; Streptophyta; Magnoliopsida; Fabales; Fabaceae
Source: RefSeq, a predicted model, not a curated record